Small nuclear RNA from Myotis myotis, 104 nucleotides. The record is from RefSeq and is a predicted model, not a curated record. Lineage: Eukaryota; Metazoa; Chordata; Mammalia; Chiroptera; Vespertilionidae.
GUGCUCCCUUCGGCAGCACAUAGACUAAAAUUGGAACAAUACAGAGAUUAGCAUGGCCCCUGUGCAAGAAUGACACACAAAUUUGUGAAGCGUUCCAUAUUUUA